AACGAACGCUGGCGGCAUGCCUAACACAUGCAAGUCGAACGAGACCUUCGGGUCUAGUGGCGCACGGGUGCGUAACGCGUGGGAACCUGCCCUUAGGUUCGGAAUAACUCCCCGAAAGGGGUGCUAAUACCGGAUAAUGUCUUCGGACCAAAGAUUUAUCGCCUUUGGAUGGGCCCGCGUUGGAUUAGCUAGUUGGUAGGGUAAAAGCCUACCAAGGCGACGAUCCAUAGCUGGUCUGAGAGGAUGAUCAGCCACACUGGGACUGAGACACGGCCCAGACUCCGAGGGGAGGAAGGGGUGGGAAUUAUUGGAAAGUGGGAAAAGGCUAGCUCCAGAAAUGCCGCGUGAGUGAAAAGGGCUUGGGGUUUGAAAACUUCUUUUCCCCGGUAUAAAAAAGAGAGUCCGGGAAAAAAAGCCCCGGACUAACCCGGUG
This 433-nucleotide ribosomal RNA is filed under the name uncultured bacterium. Its description in RNAcentral is "partial 16S ribosomal RNA". It matches the Rfam family "Bacterial small subunit ribosomal RNA", at positions 29 to 507 of the family's 1533-position model. The record is from RNAcentral.